GUGUUUUCCUUUUGUUAAUCAAUCAGUGGGGGGUGACGUGACGAGUAACUUCGGUUUACUGUCUGCUUAGCUAGGUUUAUCAGUAUUAAGAGAGUAGUAACUGGUGGUGCUGGUAUAGUGGUAUAGUCUUCAAGUCAGGAGGGUCACUGGCAAAUUAUGGUGGGGUGUAGUUCAAGAAGAUGUCGAUCGAUUUCGUUUCAAAAUGUCGAUGAAUGUGUGUUUGUGUAAGGUUACAUUUGCAUUUGCUGCAAGCUGGUCUAGUACUUAUUUGUCUGCAAACUACCUACUUCACUUUGGUCCCAAAAACAAAAAUGCAAACGUACACAGGUUUGGGGGUCGCAACUCGCAAGCAAGUACUCCUGCAAAAGGAUCAGCUCUUCUGUUUGCUUUCUGGCAUGUACCGGACCGCCCCUGAUCCGGGUUUUGGACCAUGCAUGGCAUGGCAUUGAUGCUUCGCUGAUUCUCGUUUCUGUAAAUCAGACAGCAUGUACUCCAAUCGGCGCUGAGAUGACUGUUUGUGUAUUCAGGUGGAGGGAUCGCUAUCCCUCCCCCGGUGACAGUUCAAAAAAAAAAAA
Molecule: long non-coding RNA, 575 nt
Filed under: Triticum aestivum (bread wheat)
Lineage: Eukaryota; Viridiplantae; Streptophyta; Magnoliopsida; Poales; Poaceae
Description: long non-coding RNA (TAES_LNC006188)
Source: RNAcentral